This 388-nucleotide ribosomal RNA is filed under the name uncultured bacterium. RNAcentral describes it as "partial 16S ribosomal RNA". It matches the Rfam family "Bacterial small subunit ribosomal RNA", at positions 523 to 918 of the family's 1533-position model. The record is from RNAcentral.
AUACGUAGGUGGCAAGCGUUAUCCGGAAUUAUUGGGCGUAAAGAGUGAGCAGGCGGUUAAUUAAGUCUGAGGUUGAAGCGUGGGGCUCAACCCCAUAAAGCCUUGGAAACUGAUUGACUAGCGUACGGGAGAAGUGAAGGGAACUCCAUGUGUAGCGGUGAAAUGCGUAGAUAUAUGGAAGAACACCAGUGGCGAAGGCGCUUCACUAGCCCGAAACUGACGCUCAGUCACGAAAGCGUGGGUAGCAAAUAGGAGUAGAUGCCCUAGUAGUCCACGCUGUAAACGAUGACAACUAAAUAUUGCCGCGAGGCAGUGUUGAAGCUAACGCAUUAAGUUGUCCGCCUGGGGAGUACGGUCGCAAGACUGAAACUCAAAUGAAUUGGCGGGG